GCCGCCAUUAUGUUUUUAAUAUUCAAUUACUUUUGUCUGGUUGCUUAUAAAAUGGGGAAUUGUGUAUUGUCUUAAAACAAGGCAAAUCUUGAAACAACCUAGAAAUAAUAUCAAAUGGCUUCUCUGGUUCUUCUAUUAUCUGAGCUUCUAAGACAUGAAAAUACAGAUUAUUUAACCUCAUCCUCACCUUCUGUUUCUAAUUCUUGUGCUGUUGUGGUUGCCAAAGGAGCUCAAUCAUUUUCCAACAAAAGGGUAUUCAGCUACUCUUCAAAGAGUUUCAACGGUGACUUCAUAGUCGCUGAGGAAUUAGAAGAACUUCCCAGGAUUUGGGUUGAUUUAGUUUGGCCUUAAACUGCAUUAAUUAUCUUGUAAUUCACUAUUUUGCAUCACUAAUUUAUUAUGUCAUCAUGACUCCUUUUUGGUGGAAAUGAACCCAAUUUCUAUAUAUGCUCUUUUUGUUUUCUUUACUGUUUUUCACAUUCCAUUUAUUUUACUUACAUAUUACCUGUAGUUUUUCUUUCUUCAUUUCUUUGUAAUUAAAAUUCACAAAUGGACAUAUAAUUG
This 564-nucleotide long non-coding RNA is filed under the name Nicotiana benthamiana. RNAcentral describes it as "long non-coding RNA (NBEN_LNC029158)". Lineage: Eukaryota; Viridiplantae; Streptophyta; Magnoliopsida; Solanales; Solanaceae. The record is from RNAcentral.